RNAcentral lists this ribosomal RNA (301 nucleotides) under uncultured bacterium. RNAcentral describes it as "partial 16S ribosomal RNA". It matches the Rfam family "Bacterial small subunit ribosomal RNA", at positions 509 to 808 of the family's 1533-position model. The record is from RNAcentral.
CAGCGCCGCGGUAAUACGUAGGUGGCAAGCGUUGUCCGGAAUUAUUGGGCGUAAAGGGCUCGCAGGCGGUUUCUUAAGUCUGAUGUGAAAGCCCCCGGCUCAACCGGGGAGGGUCAUUGGAAACUGGGAAACUUGAGUGCAGAAGAGGAGAGCGGAAUUCCACGUGUAGCGGUGAAAUGCGUAGAGAUGUGGAGGAACACCAGUGGCGAAGGCGACUCUCUGGUCUGUAACUGACGCUGAGGAGCGAAAGCGUGGGGAGCGAACAGGAUUAGAUACCCCCGUAGUCCCUGUCUCUUAUACA